GCAGGGAAAUGACACAUUCAGUCUCUGUGGAGGAAGGAAGGAAUGGCUUGUCUUUUGUGUACCUACAAUGGACAAAUUAUCUCCGAGAUCUUCUAAGGAAAGUCAUUGAUGUUGGUUAGGGAGGCAGCUGCUUAUCCAUCUUUACAGUGCAGGCAACGCGCUGGCCGGUAGCCAGUAAAACAAGUGACAGUGAGAAAAUUGUGGCCAACAGAAUCAAGACCAAACCGGUGGGGCUCUUUUGGAGUGUUGAGUGAAUGAAGAUGAAAGACACAAGAAAUGUACCAGAUGCAAAGCGGAGAUCCUCAGAGACAAUCUGGAUACCUCGAAAGACUUUUGGGAAACUGGCAGUUUAUCACAUCACUGCCACCAGUUGGAGUUACAAACGAUCACUGUAGAAAAUGUUGAAUAAUGUCAGGCCUCGUACUGAUCCCUGCAGAACCCCACGAGAAACAGCUGCAUUUGAAAAUGAUUCCCUGCUGACACCUGCUUUUUGAGAUCUAUCAGUUAGCCAUUUUAAAUCCAUUUAACAUGUCCUCUGUUGAUAUUUCAUCAUGCUAUUUUUAUCAGAAGGUCAUGCAGCACUAAGCCAAAUGCCUUACAAAAGUCUAAAUUUAUUACACCUACACAGUUACCUUUACCAACCAAAUUGAACUAAAACCUCUCCAACGCAUCAUCAAGGAUCUACAACCUAUCCUGAAGGACGACCCAUCACUCUCACAGAUCUUGGGAGACAGGCCAGUCCUUGCUCACAGACAGCCCCCCAACCUGA
This is a long non-coding RNA of Chelonia mydas (Green sea turtle), 769 nucleotides long. RefSeq lists it as uncharacterized. The transcript is spliced from 3 exons. The record is from RefSeq and is a predicted model, not a curated record. NCBI's taxonomy places the organism in Eukaryota, Metazoa, Chordata, Testudines, Cheloniidae.